CGGUAGAAGUUGAGAUAUAAAUUAUACAGUAUAAUGUCACAGAAUUAUAGAUCACAGUCAAAUGAAAGAACAAACUUUAUUUACCUGGAUGAGAUUUCUACACGUCCCCCGGUUCACUCAUCGGAAUCCAACUUAACAAAAAGAAGAAGGAAACCAACACACACAUUACCGUUGCCAGAUCUGACCCUUCUAAUCGGCCAACCACCACAAAAAAAUCUCCUUCCCUUCACUCUGGAUCCAUUAUUCUCUCUCAUCAGGGGGCGGUAAUUGCCUGUCGGCAAUAUUAUGUAGAAGCCGCUGCAGAAUGUAAACAACGCAUUACUGAGAGAAAACAAAGAUAUAUUUCUUGCAUUAAGCGCUACCAAGAAAUUCAAUUAUCUGAAACAUAUG
Molecule: long non-coding RNA, 390 nt
Filed under: Androctonus crassicauda
Lineage: Eukaryota; Metazoa; Arthropoda; Arachnida; Scorpiones; Buthidae
Source: RNAcentral